Long non-coding RNA from Folsomia candida, 544 nucleotides. RefSeq lists it as uncharacterized. The transcript is spliced from 3 exons. Lineage: Eukaryota; Metazoa; Arthropoda; Collembola; Entomobryomorpha; Isotomidae. The record is from RefSeq and is a predicted model, not a curated record.
GAAGCAAACUUGUUUGCGAGGCUAAACAUGUAGUGAUACUCAUGUCUUUUGAUAAAGAAUUUGGCUGGAGCAGGACUUGAUCUUUCUAUUUUUAUACAAGUUGUGGGAUAAACAACGGGGUGUUGAAUUAUCCUUGUUUUAAUGGAAGGUCAAAGCUAAAAAUUGGUGAAUUACGAAAAAUAUAAUAAUUAUUAUUCAGGGUUGGAUGAGCAGCAAAAUAAACAGGAAUUAAAAUAAAAUUAAGGCUCAAGUCCGUGAUCAAAUUGAAUAUUUGUAUAGUACAAUUUCUGGACGUUAGGCUCAAGACCUGCCAAGUUCCAGUUUUUUUUACAUCCGUUCCACACAACAUUCUGUGAUGACAUUUUUAUUGAACGAACACGAAUAUUUGUUUUAGUUGUGGUGUAUCUAACCGUACAUAAUGGAUGGAGAUAUGUACAUAGAUUUCGUCGGUAUUAUGUUUCGCUCAUCUCCUGUCGUGACGACUAUUAUUAUCAUUAGUCAAGCAGUUGAAUAAAAUUAUUGCUAAACCGCACACACUCCUAAA